This 525-nucleotide ribosomal RNA is filed under the name Teleopsis quinqueguttata. RNAcentral describes it as "partial 16S ribosomal RNA". The stretch from base 274 to 432 matches the Rfam family "Bacterial large subunit ribosomal RNA", at positions 2473 to 2632 of the family's 2925-position model. The record is from RNAcentral. Lineage: Eukaryota; Metazoa; Arthropoda; Insecta; Diptera; Diopsidae.
GAAUGGUUGGACGAAAUAUUAACUGUUUCAUUUGAAAUUUUUAUAGAAUUUUAUUUUUUAGUUAAAAAGCUAAAAUUUGGUCAAAAGACGAGAAGACCCUAUAAAUCUUUAUUAUUUAUUUAUUUUUAAUUUUUAUUUGAAUAUUUUGAUUAUUAAUAAUUUAAUAAUUUUAUUGGGGUGAUAUUAAAAUUUAAUGAACUUUUAUUUUUUAUUAUCAUUUAUUUAUGAUUAAUUGAUCCUUUAUUAUAGAUUAAAAAUUUAAGUUACUUUAGGGAUAACAGCGUAAUUUUUUUGGAGAGUUCUUAUCGAUAAAAAAGUUUGCGACCUCGAUGUUGGAUUAAGAUUAAUAUUUAAAUGCAGAAGUUUAAAUAUAAAGUCUGUUCGACUUUUUAUUCUUACAUGAUCUGAGUUCAGACCGGCGUAAGCCAGGUUGGUUUCUAUCUUUGAUUAUUUAUAAUAUUUUAGUACGAAAGGAAUUAAUAUUAAUUUUUAAGAAAUUUUUUUAUGAAUAAAUUUAAUAGCUAU